This 253-nucleotide ribosomal RNA is filed under the name Acutalibacter muris. Its description in RNAcentral is "partial 16S ribosomal RNA". It matches the Rfam family "Bacterial small subunit ribosomal RNA", at positions 524 to 776 of the family's 1533-position model. The record is from RNAcentral. Lineage: Bacteria; Bacillati; Bacillota; Clostridia; Eubacteriales; Acutalibacteraceae.
UACGUAGGGAGCAAGCGUUGUCCGGAUUUACUGGGUGUAAAGGGUGCGUAGGCGGAAGAGCAAGUCAGUAGUGAAAUCCAUGGGCUUAACCCGUGAACUGCUAUUGAAACUGUUUUUCUUGAGUGAAGUAGAGGUAGGCGGAAUUCCCGGUGUAGCGGUGAAAUGCGUAGAGAUCGGGAGGAACACCAGUGGCGAAGGCGGCCUACUGGGCUUUAACUGACGCUGAGGCACGAAAGCAUGGGUAGCAAACAGG